GAUGAACGCUGGCGGCGUGCUUAACACAUGCAAGUCGAACGGAAAGGCCCAAGCUUGCUUGGGUGCUCGAGUGGCGAACGGGUGAGUAACACGUGGGUGAUCUGCCCUGCACUUUGGGAUAAGCCUGGGAAACUGGGUCUAAUACCGGAUAGGACCAUCGUUUAGUGUCGGUGGUGGAAAGUUUUUCGGUGUGGGAUGAGCUCGCGGCCUAUCAGCUUGUUGGUGGGGUAAUGGCCUACCAAGGCGUCGACGGGUAGCCGGCCUGAGAGGGUGUACGGCCAUAUUGGGACUGAGAUACGGCCCAGACUCCUACGGGAGGCAGCAGUGGGGAAUAUUGCACAAUGGGCGCAAGCCUGAUGCAGCGACGCCGCGUGGGGGAUGACGGCCUUCGGGUUGUAAACUCCUUUCGCCAAGGACGAAGCGUUUUGUGACGGUACUUGGAGAAGAAGCACCGGCUAACUACGUG
RNAcentral lists this ribosomal RNA (466 nucleotides) under uncultured bacterium. Its description in RNAcentral is "partial 16S ribosomal RNA". It matches the Rfam family "Bacterial small subunit ribosomal RNA", at positions 28 to 507 of the family's 1533-position model. The record is from RNAcentral.